AUGCCCGGAUCCGGCUUUGCCUCAUCCCCAUCUCCCCUUUUUCCCGCAGGGCUCCGGGCGGCCGUGACCCUGCUGGAGUCCGGGGGGGACCUCCAGCCCCCCGGGGGGUCCCUGCGCCUCCUCUGCCGCGGGGAUGGAUUCACAUUCGGGAAUUUCGGGAUGUUGUGGAUACGCCAGAAACCCGGGAAGGCGCUGGAAUACGUUGCAGGGAUCUACAACGGUGGCAGCACCGCGUACGCGCCGUCGGUGCAGGGCCGGUUCAGCAUCGCCAGGGACAACGGGCAGAGCUCGGUGACGCUGAGCAUGAACAACCUCCAGGACGAGGAUUCCGGCGUUUAUUUCUGUGCCAAAAAAUUUGAUGCUGGUGCGGCUGAAAAUGCUGGUGUUGGUGACGAUUCCGGUGGCCAUCCCAGUCCCCCAUGCUGGAUCCCCAAAUGUCCCACAAUACCCAAAUCCUGCCCCAAUCGCAGCCCUGGGCCCCAAAUCUGGGCCCUUUCACCCCAAACUCCGCCCCUGCUGCCCCCACUCUCCCCUUUCAGCCGGGGCCAGAGCGAGCCCGGCUGGGGAUAA
Cyanistes caeruleus (blue tit) is the source of this 570-nucleotide non-coding RNA. NCBI's taxonomy places the organism in Eukaryota, Metazoa, Chordata, Aves, Passeriformes, Paridae. The record is from the annotation of a RefSeq genome assembly.